AGGCCUAACACAUGCAAGUCGAGCGCUGUAGCAAUACAGAGCGGCGCACGGGUGAGUAACACGUGGGAACGUGCCCUUUGGUUCGGAAUAACUCAGGGAAACUUGAGCUAAUACCGGAUAAGCCCUAACGGGGAAAGAUUUAUCGCCGAAGGAGCGGCCCAUGUCGGAUUAGCUAGUUGGUGGGGUAAAAGCCCACCAAGGCGACGAUCCGUAGCUGGUUUGAGAGAACGACCAGCCACACUGGGACUGAGACACGGCCCAG
Molecule: ribosomal RNA, 262 nt
Filed under: uncultured bacterium
Lineage: Bacteria
Description: partial 16S ribosomal RNA
Rfam family: Bacterial small subunit ribosomal RNA
Source: RNAcentral